AAUCAACGCUGGCGGCGUGCCUCAGACAUGCAAGUCGAACGAUUAAACUUUCCUUCGGGAAAGAUAUAAAGUGGCGCACGGGUGAGUAACACGUAAGUAAUCUACCUUCGAGUGGGGAAUAACGUCGGGAAACCGACGCUAAUACCGCAUAAUGCAGCGGCACCUUAUGGUGACAGUUGUUAAAGGAGCAAUUCGCUUGAAGAGGAGCUUGCGGCAGAUUAGCUAGUUGGUAAGGAACGGCUUACCAAGGCUACGAUCUGUAACCGGUCUAAGAGGACGGUCGGUCACACUGACACUGAAUAACGGGUCAGACUCCUACGGGAGGCAGCAGUCGGGAAUUUUGGGCAAUGGGCGAAAGCCUGACCCAGCAACGCCGCGUGAAGGAUGAAGUAUUUCGGUAUGUAAACUUCGAAAGAAUGGGAAGAAUCAAUGACGGUACCAUUUAUAAGGUCCGGCUAACUACGUGCCAGCCGCCGCAGUAAG
RNAcentral lists this ribosomal RNA (483 nucleotides) under uncultured bacterium. Its description in RNAcentral is "bacterial SSU rRNA". It matches the Rfam family "Bacterial small subunit ribosomal RNA", at positions 32 to 524 of the family's 1533-position model. The record is from RNAcentral.